Molecule: ribosomal RNA, 501 nt
Filed under: uncultured bacterium
Lineage: Bacteria
Description: partial 16S ribosomal RNA
Rfam family: Bacterial small subunit ribosomal RNA
Source: RNAcentral
AUUGAACGCUGGCGGCAUGCCUUACACAUGCAAGUCGAACGGCAGCACGGGUGCUUGCACCUGGUGGCGAGUGGCGAACGGGUGAGUAAUACAUCGGAACGUACCUUAUCGUGGGGGAUAACGCAGCGAAAGCUGUGCUAAUACCGCACACGCCCUGAGGGGGAAAGCGGGGGAUCGAAAGACCUCGCGCGAUUAGAGCGGCCGAUGCCUGAUUAGCUUGUUGGUGGGGUAAUAGCCCACCAAGGCGACGAUCAGUAGCUGGUCUGAGAGGACGAUCAGCCACACUGGGACUGAGACACGGCCCAGACUCCUACGGGAGGCAGCAGUGGGGAAUUUUGGACAAUGGGGGCAACCCUGAUCCAGCGAUGCCGCGUGAGUGAAGAAGGCCUUCGGGUUGUAAAGCUCUUUUGUCAGGGAAGAAACACCGGCUCUAACACAGUCCGGGAAUGACGGUACCUGAAGAAUAAGCACCGGCUAACUACGUGCCAGCAGCCGCCGUAA